This 254-nucleotide long non-coding RNA is filed under the name Helianthus annuus (common sunflower). RNAcentral describes it as "sRNA HanXRQr2_Chr06g0251001". Lineage: Eukaryota; Viridiplantae; Streptophyta; Magnoliopsida; Asterales; Asteraceae. The record is from RNAcentral.
GUUCGUUGUGAAUUUACAGGAAGACAAUGACGAUUCCAACAAAUUUGUUGUGUUGUUUGACCGAUAAAUGAUGUCAAAGAGCCGUUGAUCAAACCCCACUUAUGAUCUCAGCAAACACAUUCUGUCUUUCACAAUUAUGAUGCCAGUGAUUGCAAAAUUGCUGAAAAAUAAAACGUGGACCGCAGAAUGGACCAAAAUUGUCUAAGUAACUCAAGUAAAUCAGAAUCAAGGGUGCACCACAUGCAUAUGAGUUC